GAUGAACGCUGGCGGCGUGCCUAACACAUGCAAGUCGAACGGAGUUAUUAUUAUGAAGUUUUCGGAUGGAUUAAUAAUAACUUAGUGGCGGACGGGUGAGUAACGCGUGGGUAACCUGCCUCAUACAGGGGGAUAACAGUUGGAAACGGCUGCUAAAACCGCAUAACAUUGCGAUGUCGCAUGACAAUGCAAUUAAAUAUUUAUAGGUAUGAGAUGGGCCCGCGUCUGAUUAGCUAGUUGGUGGGGUAAUGGCCUACCAAGGCGACGAUCAGUAGCCGGCUUGAGAGAGUGACCGGCCACAUUGGGACUGAGACACGGCCCAAACUCCUACGGGAGGCAGCAGUGGGGAAUAUUGCACAAUGGGGGAAACCCUGAUGCAGCGACGCCGCGUGAGUGAAGAAGUAUUUCGGUAUGUAAAGCUCUAUCAGCAGGGAAGAAAAUGAUGGUACCUGACUAAGAAGCCCCGGCUAACUACGUGCCAGCCGCCGCGGUAA
RNAcentral lists this ribosomal RNA (494 nucleotides) under uncultured bacterium. Its description in RNAcentral is "partial 16S ribosomal RNA". It matches the Rfam family "Bacterial small subunit ribosomal RNA", at positions 28 to 523 of the family's 1533-position model. The record is from RNAcentral.